Molecule: unclassified non-coding RNA, 211 nt
Filed under: plant metagenome
Description: partial contains small subunit ribosomal RNA, internal transcribed spacer 1, and 5.8S ribosomal RNA
Source: RNAcentral
UCUCCGUAGGUGAACCUGCGGAAGGAUCAUUCAUAAUAAAGUGUUUUAUGGCACUUUUUAAAAAUCCAUAUCCACCUUGUGUGCAAUGUUAGAUCUCGUCAAUCUUGGCGAGAUUUUUAUACAUCAACUCAUUCUUUAACUAAUUUGUCUGAAAGAUAUUAUGAAUACUUAAUUCAAAAUACAACUUUCAACAACGGAUCUCUUGGCUCUC